AUACGUAGGGAGCGAGCGUUGUCCGGAAUUACUGGGUGUAAAGGGAGCGUAGGCGGGAGUGCAAGUCAGAUGUGAAAUACAUGGGCUCAACCCAUGGGCUGCAUUUGAAACUGCAUUUCUUGAGUGAAGUAGAGGUAAGCGGAAUUCCUGGUGUAGCGGUGAAAUGCGUAGAUAUCAGGAGGAACACCGGUGGCGAAGGCGGCUUACUGGGCUUUUACGGACGCUGAGGCUCGAAAGCGUGGGGAGCAAACAGGAUUAGAUACCCUGGUAGUCCACGCUGUAAACGAUGAUUACUAGGUGUGGGGGGACUGACCCCUUCCGUGCCGCAGUUAACACAAUAAGUAAUCCACCUGGGGAGUACGGCCGCAAGGUUGAAACUCAAAUGAAUUGACGGGG
This 396-nucleotide ribosomal RNA is filed under the name uncultured bacterium. RNAcentral's name for it is "partial 16S ribosomal RNA". It matches the Rfam family "Bacterial small subunit ribosomal RNA", at positions 523 to 918 of the family's 1533-position model. The record is from RNAcentral.